Small nuclear RNA from Colossoma macropomum (tambaqui), 190 nucleotides. RefSeq annotates it as U2 spliceosomal RNA. NCBI's taxonomy places the organism in Eukaryota, Metazoa, Chordata, Actinopteri, Characiformes, Serrasalmidae. The record is from RefSeq and is a predicted model, not a curated record. The transcript has a single exon.
GACACUUCUUAGCCUUUUCAUUAAGAUCAAGUAUAGUAUCUAUUCUUAUCACUUUAAUAUCUGAUUUGUCAUCUACAGGAGGACCACAUAUUACGUUGUACGUUGAGAAAAAGCAGAUGGAAGAACACCUUGCAGUGUAACGUAGCGUCCACCAUGUCUUACAAUCUGCCCAAGACAUGGUGGACGCUAA